UACCAAAAAGUUAAGUUAUAUUAAAUGGUAAAAAGAUAGUUAAAUAAAUUAUUAAGUUUUUUAUUAUUUAUAUAGAAGUAAAAUUUGAGUAUAAAUAUUAUUAUCUAAUAAACUGAAUAAAUUGAAUCUAUGACAUCUUUGAAAGAAACUGGGAUUGGAUACCCCAUUAUUCUUAGUUAUAAAUUUAAUGAAUAUUUACCUGAGUACUACGAAUAAUAAAAUUUAAAACUCAAAGAGCUUGGCGGUACUUUAGACCACUUAGGGGAACCUGUCUCGUAAUCGACAAUCCACGUUAAACCUAACCUUUUUUUGCUUUCAGCCUGUAUACCAUUGUCGUCAGGUAACUUUUAAAAAAAUUAAAGCUAGCUAGAUAAUUUUUAAAUUAAAACGUCAAAUCAAGGUGCAGCUUAUAAAAAGGUGUAGAUGGGUUACAAUUAUUUAAUUAUAAUCACGGAAAAAUUAAAGGAAAUUUUAAAUAGAAGGAGGACUUAAAAGUAAAAUAAUAUAUAAAAAUUUUUUGAAUAAGGCUCUGAAGUGCGC
This 540-nucleotide ribosomal RNA is filed under the name Benthomangelia cf. trophonoidea NP-2008. RNAcentral describes it as "partial 12S ribosomal RNA". Lineage: Eukaryota; Metazoa; Mollusca; Gastropoda; Neogastropoda; Conidae. The record is from RNAcentral.